This 2885-nucleotide long non-coding RNA is filed under the name Cinara cedri. The record is from RNAcentral. Lineage: Eukaryota; Metazoa; Arthropoda; Insecta; Hemiptera; Aphididae.
UAAAAAUAAAAAUUAACCUUUUGCAUAUAUAACCGGUAUAAAACAUAAAAUAUUUUAACAUUAAUGUUAUUUUUGAAUUGUGUAUUAAAUGAUGGCACAGGUAUCUGUCUAAACUAUAAAUUCUGUAUUCCAUUAAAUUUUGUCAUUAAUUUUGUUGGUGAAGAGUAAGAAAAAAAUAUAUUUUAGUUUUAAUAGCAUCCACGCCAAAUUCUUGCGGUAAAGUAAGUUUAAUAUAAGAUUAGAAUUCAUAUUUGUCUUCAUUUAUGUCUCAAAUUCCAUUUCCAUGUGUGGUGUGUAUCAUAAAAUUACAACAGAAAACCGCCGAACUGCUGGUUUAUAUUUAUUUAUCCUAACUUAUAAUUCACAUUAUCCACAGCGUAAAAAGAGAAUGCAUGAUAUACAAUAUGCCAAUCUGUAGUUAGUCCAAUUUUACUAAUAAUAGUCAGGCACAAUAAAUGUAUAACUUAUAAAAUUGUGAAAUGUUAUUUUUUUUUUAAAUAAAUUAAAUAGAAUAAAAAACCAGUUUUGUUGUUUAUUCGAGAAAUUUUUGUCCGAAAAACGAGAAGAUAAUUAAUUAAAUUUAUUUAUCAAAUGAAUAAUACUUAAAUAUAAUUAAUUAAUUGAAUGGUGGUUAUAAAUCUUGUAGUUUCAAUAAAUUCGAAAUUAUUAAUAUCAGAGAAGAAGAGAAACUUAUUGCAUCAGUCGAUAAAGGUGGGAAAAAUUUACUAUAGGUUUUACGUAAAAAAUGAUGAAUUAUAUGAUACACUAAAUGAGAUAUACGUUAAUAUUGGUCGUUGUGGUAAGCAUUGAGUGAAUAUAGAAAUAAAAAAAUUAAUACAGGUAUUUGACUCAAAAAGUGAUACUUUCUUAAAAUUUUGAGGAGCAUGUCAAACCAAAAUCUCAUCUAACCGAAAAGUGCUUGUAGGUAAACCGUUUAUUCAUUCUGAAUGAAUUUUAUAGUAAAUUAAUUGCAUAUGCAUUAAACAUUUUCUUUAAUAAUAUUUGUUUAAUUUUAUAUAAAUUUACCCGUUCUCUCGGUUUUUCCUAGUGAUACUUUCUUAAAAUUUUGCGGAGCAUGUCAAACACAAACGUCAUCUAACCGAAAAGUGCUUGUAGGUAAACCGUUUAAUCAUUCAGAAUGAAUAUCAUAGUAAAUUAAUUUCAUAUGCAUUAAACAUUUUCUUUUAUAAUAUUUGUUUAAUUUUAUAUCAAUUUACCCGUUCUCUCGGUUUUUCCUAUUUAUAAGUGUACAUGCGUUAAUCAAGACUUGGAGACAACAAAAUGAUUGUAGCUCACUUUUUACCUAAUCAAAUUUAUUUUAAUACUAAAAUAAUACUAUUAACAAAAGUAAUUUUAUUACUUAUUACUAAUAGUANUAACAUUUACUACCUCCUAAUUAUAGUCAUAUCAAAAUAACAAAUCGUACAAGUAGUAAUUGGCACAUAAUAGGUAUGUAGGCAUCUAUAUUAUAUUAUUCACGACUAAUAUCAUACGUAAAUAUUUUAUAAAACUAUGGUAUGCAAUUAUAUCAAUAAAUAUAAAUAAAUCAUCAUUUAUCUUUUAUAGUAAACAAAAAAGGGUAAAUUUCCGUAAUUUUAGUAAUUUUCGAAUUAUAAUACCCACGAAAAACCAAACUGAUUUUGUCUAAUUAAAAUCAACUUUUGUUGAAUAGGUGAUUUACAAAUUUGGCGACCUCUAGCAAGAACAUUUGGAUAAUCAGUCGACUACUGCCAUAACGUAACGUUUAGAAAAUUUUACUGUUAUCAAGAAUCAUACAUAUUUCCGACAAAUUGAUUUAUAAAACCAAAACUUUCAACUGAAAUAUUUAAGAUAAGGGCAAAAAACUUAACUUUGUGUCUUCUUUAAAUAUCGUAUCAUUUGCGUAUCUAUAUCUGAUUAAUUGAAAACAUGCCAUUAAAAUUUACCGCUGGUUAUGUUAUUAUCUAUUCUUUUAUGUUAGUGUUAGUACACGGUGACGGUGGAGGUACUCCUAAUGACCUACCUAUCGCUAAUAACCCUAACCCGCCACCUGAUAAUGCACCCCCAGCUGAUUGCCCCCCACCUUGUAAGAGAGACUUUCUUUGGAUCCAAAAUGUGUGUAAAAGAGGUGUACGUGAAUAUAGUCCCACUGUAUAUAAUUGUUUUUGUUGUAAGUGACGAUUUCAAUUAUUAAAGGCCCAAUUGCCAUUUAUUAUGCAAAUUCAAUAAUAAUGUUAAGUAUUCCAAAAGAUCUUUCCAUAAUUUAUUCUUAUAAAGAAGCACACUCACAAAUUGAGGCACUGCAAACAAUUAAAUUAAUUUACACCUACUCACUACAAAAUAAAUUGGGAUGACAUAAAGUGCAUAUAUCCUAAUAAUUAUAUAGUAUAAUAACUUUGCUGUGUUAACUAUAUAAUAACGUUAUUUUUGCAUAUUUAAAAAAUAAAACAUUAAAUGUCAACUUUUGUCCGUACAGUAUUUUUGUAAUACAUUUAUCAUAAGUGAUAAAAUAAAAUAGUUUUUAAAUACAGUUUAUUUGUUGUAUUGAUUUCAUGAGACAUUACUUACACAUCAUAUUACCUAUGAAGUUCCUGCGGACCGUAGUUAUUGCUUUGUGAUAUUGAAAACCACAACUCCAAUAUUAAGACAAAACAAUUACUUUCAUUGCAUUUUUUUAAAAUAAAAUACGUUCUUUAUAUUUAACAUAAUACGAGUCGUAGGGAAAUUAAUUUAAAUUAAAAAAAACUUAUUUUAAACGGUAAUUCUUUUAGAAAUGUUUACGUAAAGAACAAAAUAUGUUCCUUAAUAUAGUGUAAUUCUUAAACAAAUCAUUGUUGUGAAAUCAUUAUAUUCGACUGAACAUGACUUAGACUUCGAUUGUUCGUCAGCGAUGGUAACCAUCAAUU